RNAcentral lists this long non-coding RNA (3650 nucleotides) under Hordeum vulgare. RNAcentral's name for it is "long non-coding RNA (HVUL_LNC020828)". The record is from RNAcentral. Lineage: Eukaryota; Viridiplantae; Streptophyta; Magnoliopsida; Poales; Poaceae.
GACCCCUCACCCUCUCACCCACCCACCGUGAGCUACUCUCUCUCCCCCGCGCAGCAAACCGUAGCCCAUCUCUCCCCCGCACACCCCUCCUCCUCCCUUCCAGAUCGCCGUCGCCACCUCCCUCCGGCGGAGCUCCCCGCCGUACAUGGUCCGUCGGCCUCGUUCGUCGCCAGUCCCCAGUUCCCCACCACCACACCCCGCCUGCGCUCGCGUCUCCCCUCGUGUCCUCCUCCCCCUCCCAUCCCCUCCCCACCACCGCGACGGGAACUCCUCGGCGAGCCGGGCCAGAUCCGCCGGAGCAGUGGGCUCGCGUCCGUCACCCGCAUCGCUAACNNNNNNNNNNNNNNNNNNNGUCGGCAGCGUCAGAUGUGUAUAAGAGACAGCCCCCCCCCUCCCGUCUCGCAUCGGGCUCCCCGCUGCCGGAUGGAGAGAGGCAGGGCGUGAGAUCAACCGAUCGGCGCCCUCGACCGGAGCGGACCCCGUCGAGGAGCCGCGAGCAAGUGAGCGAGCUCGAUCCGACCGCGGGAGCGCCGCGCCCACCAGAUCGGGGAUGGGAUCCGGGCCAAGGGAGGAGGCCGGUGGUGAUUGUUCGGAUUCCAUUUCUUCUUCCCGCGCGCGUGCGGAUCCUCGAUGGAAUCGGCGCGGGCCGAUUCGGAGAGGGCCGGUGAGUGCUCCGCCUUCGCUGGAAUUGUUGUUCUCGUAUCCUGUGCUCCAUGUCCAGUGUGAUUUGGGUUGGAUCCUCCAGUUCAAGGCUCGACCCGCUGAUCUAGGCUGCUGCGGCGUCGUUGCAGGCGCCGGUGGUUGCUGCGGCUGCUUGGUUUAGGAUGGUUAUCAUUAAACCUCUGGGAUCGAAGUGUGGAUGGAGUGGUUACUGAUGGAAGCUCCUGUUCUAUUGGUGUGUCUUGUGUUUCUGGCAUGCAGGACAAUUUUUUGGCACUAUGCUAUUCAAUUCUGAACUUCCUAGGUAUAUGAUACUUCAUCUUGAAUUUUUUACGGUAUCAACAUGCAUACAGAUUGGUAUAUAUAAUGUUAAAUAACCUACCUUAGAUAUUUUGGGAAUUAGAAUGGCCAUUGCAAAAAUUGGUUCCCUGUUUACUGAAUUUUAAAAUUCAGAUAACUUGAUUAUGCUUUGCCUGAUGGGUUGGGUAAUACAACACGCAGCUAUGUGUAGUGUCUACAAGUGCAUGCAUCUGUGAGACCACACGCCCAGUGUUGUGAUUAGGUUCACCCCUGCCAGUAUAAAAACUAGUCGCUGCAUCUGUGAGCAGCAACGUGAGUUACUGGCAAACGCCCCCGCAUGGUGAGGCUGGCUCACUCACCAUUUUUUGAAUUUCGUUUUACUAGUUUUGACGAUGGGUAAUGUGUGCUUUGAUGAAGUUUCAUGCCUUUUUAGUUCUUAAUCCGUGUGUGGGGUCUCCUAAUCACAAAACUGUGAUGCAUCUGUGCUACUCUGUAUUUGCCCCACUGAUAAUCAGAGUGGCGAGGUGGUUGCUGUUGGAGAGGGAAGAACCAUUGGGGAUAGCAAAGUACAAGUUGGCAUUAAGGUAUGGCCUGUGCAGUCACUUUGUUCCAGUCUUAUGAGUAGAAUUUUUGUUAUAACGAAUGCAGUCUGAAGCAUGCUAAAAUGCUGAUAUGAUGAAGCUUGCAAUGUGCUUGUCUUACCUGUUUGGAUUCUAGGAUUUUACGCAUGUUGUGCCAGUUUUGUUGUAUCUGGUUCGGUCCUUUUAUAUAUUUUGCCGUGAUAAUUAGUUUUCAGUAACUCAAUAUGCUCAAAUAUUAUGAGUAGGGUUUUAGUUAUAACAAAUCCAGUCAGAAGCAUGCUAAAGUGCUCGUGGAUCCGGUUUAGUAUGUGCCAUGAACUGCUAGAUGCGUACGCGUUGAUGGGUCUGUACGCGAUUUGCUCUGGGUUCUCUAGCUCUUACACCUUUUUUUGAAUUGUUCACAAAUAUAUGAUCUUGCUAGAGGCCGGACUUGCUAUCUCUUGACAGUCGGUCGCUUGUUUGCUGCACGGCAGCAGCAACAUGCAGCACAAGCCAGUAUAUAGCAUGUUGACGAUGUAUCUAGCACUCAGUAUCAUUCUUAAGCAAAGCUACAGUUUUUUGCUUUACUUUCAGUGUUUCUUUGACCUAUGUACAGUGUCAACAAAGAUCUGAAUUACAGUGCGGUGUCCUUAAAAUUCCAGUCCAAAUUGUAGUGUAAUUUCCAUUUUGUAAUAUAUCAUAUGUAAAUUACAGUGUAAUGUGAGUGUACUUGCAGUUCUUUUUACAAUGUAUGUACACUGUAAACUCACUCCAAUUGCAGUACAUUUGGUCUCUGUAGAUUGGACAUGGAAGGGGUUUUUUUAACUGAAAUAUCACUCUAGUGUAUUUUGAAAAUUCCAAUCAAACUUUUAGUGUAUUUUUCAUUCUGGAAUUUAUUCCAUGUAAGUUUCACUGCCAUUGUACUUACACUGUAACUCACACUAAUUGCCCUAUUUUACAGUGCAAUUUUAAGUGGUUUUCACUGGAACUUAUUGUUUGUUUUACUAUCAACAUAAUUACGGUAAAUCUUCUGGUAAUCCUCUUCAUUGUAAAUCUAUUGCUAAUGAAUUGUAAAUCUACUGCAAAAUCACUGUAAAUCUGUUUUACAGUGUAAUUUUAAGUGGGUUUCACUGAAAUUUAUUGUUUAUUUUACUGUGAACAUAAUUACUGUAAACCUUAUAAUAAUUCACUGUAAAUCUACUGCAAAAUCACUGUAAAUCUACUGCAAAUCUGUUUUACAGUGUAAUUUUAAGUGGUUUCCAUUGGAAUUUAUAGUUUGUUUUACUAUAUGAACAUAAUUACUGUAAAUCUUCUACUAAUUCACUGUAAAUCUAUUGCUAAUGAAUUGUAAAUCUACUGGAAAAUCAAGUCUGUUCAUCCAACGACCCCAUGCUCCUUUCUUAUUCUGGUUUCUUAUUGUUCUUGCAAAGGGGGGAGGGCUAGUGAAAGGGAUGCAUAAGUUUUCUUGCCCUGCAAGUCCAACUCUCCUUGGUAUACUAUUUCUGGAGAUUGUUGUGAAAUUGUUGUUAUAUUGUUUAGCCCUGCCCCCAUCCUCCAAGAUCUAAUAUGCAUGUUUCCAUGCUGUAUAUUUUCUUUGCUAAACUGUUUGUUGUGGUUAAUAGUGAGGCCGUGAUAUUUGGUAUUCUGAACAUUCGUUUGAUAUGUAUGCCGCACUUUUCAACUCAUGUCAUGUUUAAUUAUUGAUGAUAUAUAUUUGCAGAUAUUUUGCCUAACUUCAAGAUGAGUGUUCUCCCUUUUAUACAAGUGAAGUCAGGCUGAAGAUAUUCAAAGAAGGGAUAACAUAUUUUUGUAUAAAAAGUUAUGUAUUGAUAGUUGGGUUAUGUGCAUGAUGUAAACUCUCGAAUUUCAUAUAUCUUCUCUCUGUUUCUAAAUGAAAUAUUUUCUAAAUGAAAUAUUGUAUAUUUCUGAAUUACAAUUGUUCCGUUUUGUUUAUAAUAGUGAUUAUGUAUGUGAUUUGAAAAUAAAAGAGGCUGGAAUUGUUUGACAAAAUACAAAAUUUAUGGUGUGGAUUCGAAUUUUGAGGUCAGAAUGACAUGUGGGACCAAUCUGACUAGUGGGACCAGUACAAAAAUAAAAUGGCCAAAAAACAAAAUCAAUAGAAAGUAAAAG